AGUCUAUGAAUCCUAAAUUCAAACACAUUUUGAGAAAAGACAAUACAGUUGGAGAUAUAUUAUCAUGAGUACAAUAUAAUGAUGAAGAUGAUAUGAUUGAUGAUGAAGAAAAUAUUGACACCGACUUUUAUUCAACUUUAUAUGCAAGAAGGGAUGGAUUGUCUUUGGCUACACUAUUUAAAUUAUUCUCAGAAGAAUUGUAUGAUGGUAAAUGGUUGUAUAUAGAAAAAUACUUAAGUACAUUAAUGCAGCAAGAAGAUUGGAUGGACAAAGAAUUUAAGAAGAUUCAAAGGAAAGCAUAUGGAUAUUUUCUUCAAAAUGGGUUCUUAUAGAAGUAUCUAAAGAAGAGAGGUGGAAUACCACAAUGAAUUGUAAAUGGGAUUGAAAUGCAAUAAAAGAUCAUUAAGGAAUUUCAUGACUGUCGAUAGGCUGGGCAUUGGAAUAUUUGGACAACAUUUACUAAGAUGAAAAAAAUAUUGGUGGAAAGGCAUGCACAAAGAUAUAGAAAAUUUUGUAGAAUCUUAUAAAAUUUUUCAAGUAUAUUCAAACAUUCGGCAUCAAGAUAGAUUACACCCAACAUAUCUUUUAGGUCUAUACUAUAAAUAG
This 606-nucleotide long non-coding RNA is filed under the name Physcomitrium patens. RNAcentral describes it as "long non-coding RNA (PPAT_LNC011252)". Lineage: Eukaryota; Viridiplantae; Streptophyta; Bryopsida; Funariales; Funariaceae. The record is from RNAcentral.